CCCUUAGAUGUCCUGGGCCGCACGAGCGUUACACUGAUGCAUUCAACGAGCUUAUAACCUUGGCCGAGAGGCCUGGGCAAUCUUGUUAACGUGCAUCGUGAUAGGGAUAGAUUAUUGAAAUUAUUAAUCUUGAACGAGGAAUUCCUAGUAAACGCAGAUCAUCAAUCUGCAUUGAUUACGUCCCUGCCCUUUGUACACACCGCCCGUCGCACCUACCGAUUGGAUGGUCCGGUGAAGCCUCGGGAUUGUGGUUCUUGCCGCUUUAUUGUGGCGUGACCGCGAGAACUUGUCUAAACCUUAUCAUCUAGAGGAAGGUGAAGUCGUAACA
This 328-nucleotide ribosomal RNA is filed under the name uncultured eukaryote. Its description in RNAcentral is "partial 18S ribosomal RNA". It matches the Rfam family "Eukaryotic small subunit ribosomal RNA", at positions 1470 to 1796 of the family's 1831-position model. The record is from RNAcentral.